Molecule: long non-coding RNA, 197 nt
Organism: Sceloporus undulatus (fence lizard)
Lineage: Eukaryota; Metazoa; Chordata; Lepidosauria; Squamata; Phrynosomatidae
Exons: 3
Source: RefSeq, a predicted model, not a curated record
GGCCCAAGUGGAUCACGCAAGACAGAGAAGAUGUCUCUUCAAUGAGAAGUGAAAGAAGAACUGAAUCUAUGUGUACAAGGACAUCUCUUCAUCCUGAUGGAUUCAGAACAGCUUCUGGGAGACUAGCUCAGGUGACUUUUGAGGACGUGGUUGUGGAUUUCACGGAGGAGGAGUGGGCCCUGAUGGAUCCAGGCCAA